This 252-nucleotide ribosomal RNA is filed under the name uncultured bacterium. RNAcentral describes it as "partial 16S ribosomal RNA". It matches the Rfam family "Bacterial small subunit ribosomal RNA", at positions 524 to 775 of the family's 1533-position model. The record is from RNAcentral.
UACGAAGGGGGCUAGCGUUGCUCGGAAUCACUGGGCGUAAAGGGUGCGUAGGCGGGUCUUUAAGUCAGGGGUGAAAUCCUGGAGCUCAACUCCAGAACUGCCUUUGAUACUGAUGAGCUUGAGUUCGGGAGAGGUGAGUGGAACUGCGAGUGUAGAGGUGAAAUUCGUAGAUAUUCGCAAGAACACCAGUGGCGAAGGCGGCUCACUGGCCCGAUACUGACGCUGAGGUGCGAAAGCGUGGGGAGCAACAGG